RNAcentral lists this ribosomal RNA (492 nucleotides) under uncultured bacterium. RNAcentral describes it as "partial 16S ribosomal RNA". It matches the Rfam family "Bacterial small subunit ribosomal RNA", at positions 29 to 507 of the family's 1533-position model. The record is from RNAcentral.
AGUGAACGCUGGCGGUAGGCCUAACACAUGCAAGUCGAACGGCAGCACAGUAAGAGCUUGCUCUUACGGGUGGCGAGUGGCGGACGGGUGAGGAAUACAUCGGAAUCUACUUUUUCGUGGGGGAUAACGUAGGGAAACUUACGCUAAUACCGCAUACGACCUACGGGUGAAAGCAGUGGAUCUUCGGACCUUGCGCGAUUGAAUGAGCCGAUGUCGGAUUAGCUAGUUGGCGGGGUAAAGGCCCACCAAGGCGACGAUCCGUAGCUGGUCUGAGAGGAUGGUCAGCCGCCCUGGAACUGAGACACGGUCCAGGCUCCUACGGGAGGCAGCAGUGGGGAAUAUUAGACAAUGGGCGCAAGCCUGAUCCAGCCAUACCGCGUGGGUGAAGAAGGCGUUCGGGUUGUAAAGCCCUUUUGUUGGGAAAGAAAAGCAGCAGGUUAAUACCCCGCUGUUCUGACGGUACCCAAAGAAUAAGCACCGGCUAACUUCGUG